Molecule: long non-coding RNA, 550 nt
Filed under: Amborella trichopoda
Lineage: Eukaryota; Viridiplantae; Streptophyta; Magnoliopsida; Amborellales; Amborellaceae
Description: long non-coding RNA (ATRI_LNC000783)
Source: RNAcentral
AGAGAGAGAGAGAGAGAGAGAGAGAGAGAGACCGUUUUUGAGUGUAAUUAGUGGCCCUGAGUAAGAAGUUUGUCUUGGGGGCAAGCUGCAUGAAAAAGGAAAGUUGCACGGAGAAAGAUAGGGCACAGAGGGCAAAGAGGGGGCGAGCGUGCAUCAGAAUCACAGAGAAGGGCACGAUGACAUAGAGAGGCGCGUGCUUCAACUAGAGAGAGAGACCAUUUUCAGUUUAGUUGGUGGCCCUGAGUAGGAAGUUUGUCUUGGGGGCAAGCUGCAGGGAAAGGGAAAGUUGCAGAGAGAGAUAGGGCAGAGAGGGAGCUAGCGUGCUUCAGGUUCACGGAGAGGGGCGCAAUGAGAGAGAGAGAGAGGCAUGUGCUUCAACUAGAGAGAGAGAGACUGUUUUGAGUGUAGUUGGUGGCCCUGAGUAAGAAGCUUGUCUUGGGGGCAAGCUGCAGAAGAUGCUCUCCAGGAGAGAGAAGCCUUUGAAGUGGACCGUCCAUUUGAGGGGCGCGGUCAGAACCAUUGGCGUAAACAAGCUACCUAUGCAACUUCG